UGCCCAGCAACUCCUAUCCCUACCUCCUCGUAGUACUGGCUGGGGUACGAGUAACCUUGGGGAAGAUCGGGUAACCAACCCCCGGUGGGAACUUUGGUCGUAUGCUGACAGGGAAGG
RNAcentral lists this ribozyme (117 nucleotides) under Aedes aegypti (yellow fever mosquito). RNAcentral describes it as "drz-agam-1 ribozyme". It matches the Rfam family "drz-agam-1 ribozyme". The record is from Rfam by way of RNAcentral. Lineage: Eukaryota; Metazoa; Arthropoda; Insecta; Diptera; Culicidae.